GACGAACGCUGGCGGCGUGCUUAACACAUGCAAGUCGAACGAUGAAGCUGGAGCUUGCUCCGGUGGAUUAGUGGCGAACGGGUGAGUAACACGUGAGCAAUCUGCCCUUGACUCUGGGAUAACUGCGGGAAACUGUAGCUAAUACCGGAUACUUUCCUUGGUGGGCAUCCACUGGGGAAGAAAGAAUUUCGGUCAAGGAUGAGCUCGCGGCCUAUCAGCUAGUUGGUGAGGUAAUGGCUCACCAAGGCGACAACGGGUAGCCGGCCUGAGAGGGUGACCGGCCGCACUGGAACUGAGACACGGUCCAGACUCCUACGGGAGGCAGCAGUGGGGAAUAUUGCACAAUGGGCGAAAGCCUGAUGCAGCAGCGCCGCGUGAGGGACGAAGGCCUCGGGUUGUAAACCUCUUUUAGCAGGGAAGAAGCGAAAGUGACGGUACCUGCAGAAAAAGCACCGGCUAACUACGUGCCAGCAGCCGCAGUAA
This 483-nucleotide ribosomal RNA is filed under the name uncultured bacterium. RNAcentral describes it as "partial 16S ribosomal RNA". It matches the Rfam family "Bacterial small subunit ribosomal RNA", at positions 28 to 523 of the family's 1533-position model. The record is from RNAcentral.